Molecule: ribosomal RNA, 417 nt
Filed under: Grosmannia robusta
Lineage: Eukaryota; Fungi; Ascomycota; Sordariomycetes; Ophiostomatales; Ophiostomataceae
Description: eukaryotic LSU rRNA
Rfam family: Eukaryotic large subunit ribosomal RNA
Source: RNAcentral
UUGACCUCGGAUCAGGUAGGACUACCCGCUGAACUUAAGCAUAUCAAUAAGCGGAGGAAAAGAAACCAACAGGGAUUGCCUCAGUAACGGCGAGUGAAGCGGCAACAGCUCAGAUUUGGAAUCUGGCCCCCAGGGCCCGAGUUGUAAUCUGGAGAGGAUGCUUCUGGCGCGGCGCCUUCCGAGUUCCCUGGAACGGGACGCCAGAGAGGGUGAGAGCCCCGUACGGUCGGACGCCUAGCCUCUGUGAAGCUUCUUCGACGAGUCCAGUAGUUUGGGAAUGCUGCUCAAAAUGGGAGGUAAAUUUCUUCUAAAGCUAAAUACCGGCCAGAGACCGAUAGCGCACAAGUAGAGUGAUCGAAAGAUGAAAAGCACUUUGAAAAGAGGGUUAAACAGUACGUGAAAUUGUUGAAAGGGAAG